CAAAACUAAGAAAGAUAGGAAAAGUUAGGAAAUACACUUUCUUGCUCUUAGAAAUCUACAACUAUUGCCCAUAUUUGUAUCAUUCAUUAAAGGAAGGAAAAAUGAGAAAAUUUAACAAUGAGUACUUGUUUGUUUAAGAAUGUGAAGCAUUUAAAAAGCGUAAAAUAAGAAUAAAACUAUCCAAGGACCCUCCAACACACUUAGAGAACUCUUGGAGCUGAGAGACCUACUUAGCCCGAAAGCUGCUCUGUCUCCUGAACACAAGCAAAGAACUAAGGCAAUCACUUAGAGGAUCUACUGGGGGAGAACACUGAUGCUUGUGGCUAGGAGAGACUUUAGAGGUAGAUGGCUUAAUCUCAGAAGGUCUCACUCUUCAAAAAUUUUAGAGACAGGGGCCCUUUAAGACAGAGUAGACCAGAAAAGACCAGAUCUCCCUAGGUGCAAAAGGACUUUAAUUGUAGAAAUCCCACUGCUGCAACGGAUUCACUACUGGACAAAUAUUUACUGCACACUCACUAUGUUCUAGGCGUUGUGCUAGGUGCUGGAGUGACAGUACCUAGCCAAUGAGCAAGAAAAUACAGGCCAGACCUAUGACAGCUUAGUCUUGAGAGGGAAUUGGGCACAGAACAAGUAACUGGAUAGCCAUUAAGGAGUCCGUUGAACCGUGUGUUGGAUUAACGGGGGUUGUUGUAGGGAAACACCCUGAAGAGAGAUUUAAGUCUUGUUUGUCUUCCCAAUUGUUUGCCUAAAUCCUCUAACAUUUCUUUCCUUCACCUGAUAUUCCACAAACAGCUGUUGGGCAUUUAUGUGGGGGUAGGCAUUUGGCUGAAGAGCGGGCUUCACCCUGGGAAUAAAAGAUGGGUAAGAUAUUGAGUUCUUCUGCUCGAGAGGAAGAUGCCUAAAGAUCACAAGGCCUGCGAGACCAUAAGUAUAAGAGCAAUCUUGCUCACCCCACCAACUCAACCGUCCAGAGCAGCCUGCUUGGUGCUUCGGCCUCGGAGUCCUCCUGAGGCCUGCCUUGCCUACCUGUCCCCUCGGAGGAUCACUCAAUUCCACUCCCGUCACUCAAGCUGGGAUGAGCUCUGCUUUACUCAGGUCAGGUCGGAAUUGCAUGCCAACUGCUCCCCUAGAGUCCAAGCUCAGUCCUAACAUUUCAUUUCCUCUAUAUUUCAGUGUUCUAAAAAACUGCAUUGGUUUGACAGAAAUUAUUCUGAUAACUCCCUUAAGUUUCCACGAAUGUAGGAAUGCAUACAUAUAUAUGUGGCAAACAUACAUAUAGCAAGCUCUUUUAUGUUUUCAGUUCACUUCUGGUUAUAUAUUUGAAUUCAAGAGCCUUUAUGAGUUUACUUCACUGAACAUUUUAUUAGCUUAUAUGUUUAUAUUAAAAGGCAGAGAAGAGGAAAGACCCAGAAUCUGAAAGGUGUCAUUGAAAAUGUUUCCUCUCACAAAAGAAAUCUCUAGAGACCAAUUGUGACUGAACACUCCAAAGCCAUAUUGAUUUGAUGAGUCAUGUAUUUUGAACUGGGUCACAUUUAAUAAUGCAGUUUUAUUUUUUCUAUGAUUGUACUGACAGAGAAC
Fukomys damarensis (Damara mole-rat) is the source of this 1578-nucleotide long non-coding RNA. NCBI's taxonomy places the organism in Eukaryota, Metazoa, Chordata, Mammalia, Rodentia, Bathyergidae. The record is from Ensembl.